Molecule: long non-coding RNA, 244 nt
Filed under: Elaeis guineensis (African oil palm)
Lineage: Eukaryota; Viridiplantae; Streptophyta; Magnoliopsida; Arecales; Arecaceae
Description: long non-coding RNA (EGUI_LNC022618)
Source: RNAcentral
GGUUAUAUGUUGAUGCAUAAGGAUCAUUUAUAGGUCUUUGAUAAGCUGCAUUUAUUUGUGCAAGUGCAUUUUCGAUUGGAUUUUUUAGUGAAGGACAUUCUUUCAAGAUGUGGUCCGGUGUACCACAUCUAUUGCACAUAGGUGUGAAGAUUUGAUUUGCUUGAGUGUGUCCUUAAAGUUCUAGGGCUUCUAUCCUCGGGAUCAAGGUCACAAUUCUAGCCUCCAUAGCUAGAGAUGUUUGGAC